GACGAACGCUGGCGGCGUGCCUAAUACAUGCAAGUAGAACGCGGAAGGAGGAGCUUGCUUCGCUGGAUGAGUUGCGAACGGGUGAGUAACGCGUAGGUAACCUGCCUGGUAGCGGGGGAUAACUUUUGGAAACGAUAGCUAAUACCGCAUAAUAGUAGAUGUUGCAUGACAUUUGCGUAAAAGGUGCAAUUGCAUCACUAGCAGAUGGACCUGCGUUGUAUCAGCUAGUUGUGGAGGUAACGGCUCACCAAGGCAACGAGACAUAGCCGACCUGAGAGGGUGCUCGGCCACACUGGGACUGGGACACGGCCCAGACUCCUACGAGAGGCAGCCGUAGGGAAUCUUCGGCAAUGGACGGAAGUCUGACCGAGCAACGCCGCGUGAGUGACGAAGGUUGUCGGGUCGUGAAGGUCUGUUGUACGAGAGGAACGUGUGUGAGAGUGGAAAGUUCACAUUGUGACGGUAUCUUACCAGAAAGCGCCGGCUAACUACGUG
This 495-nucleotide ribosomal RNA is filed under the name uncultured bacterium. RNAcentral describes it as "partial 16S ribosomal RNA". It matches the Rfam family "Bacterial small subunit ribosomal RNA", at positions 28 to 507 of the family's 1533-position model. The record is from RNAcentral.